Molecule: ribosomal RNA, 253 nt
Filed under: uncultured bacterium
Lineage: Bacteria
Description: partial 16S ribosomal RNA
Rfam family: Bacterial small subunit ribosomal RNA
Source: RNAcentral
UACAGAGGGUGCUAGCGUUGUUCGGAAUCAUUGGGCGUAAAGGGCGUGUAGGCGGUUUGUUAAGUCAUGUGUGAAAGCCCCCGGCUCAACCGGGGAACGACGCAUGAAACUGGCAAGCUAGAGUACCGAAGAGGGGGGUGGAAUUCCCGGUGUAGCGGUGAAAUGCGUAGAUAUCUGGAGGAAUACCGGUGGCGAAGGCGGCAUCCUGGACCGACAUUGACGCUGAACGGCGAAAGCUAGGGGAGCAAACGGG